This 318-nucleotide ribosomal RNA is filed under the name uncultured Actinomycetes bacterium. RNAcentral's name for it is "bacterial SSU rRNA". It matches the Rfam family "Bacterial small subunit ribosomal RNA", at positions 28 to 351 of the family's 1533-position model. Lineage: Bacteria; Bacillati; Actinomycetota; Actinomycetes. The record is from RNAcentral.
GACGAACGCUGGCGGCGUGCUUAACACAUGCAAGUCGAGCGGUAAGGCCCUUCGGGGUACACGAGCGGCGAACGGGUGAGUAACACGUGGGUGACCUGCCCUCCACUCUGGGAUAAGCCCGGGAAACUGGGUCUAAUACCGGAUAGGACCAUUGGAUGCAUGUCCGGUGGUGGAAAGUUCUUCGGUGGGGGAUGGGCCCGCGGUCUAUCAGCUUGUUGGUGGGGUGAUGGCCUACCAAGGCGACGACGGAUAGCCGGCCUGAGAGGGUGAUCGGCCACACUGGGACUGAGACACGGCCCAGACUCCUACGGGAGGCAG